UAUAUCUCAUGUGUAGAUUGGGUAAGUGAAUAUAUAUGGAUGCGACGGGAAGCACGGUAAUGGGUUUAUAGGUGCUUUGUUUAAGGUCUCGGUGCUGCCCGGGAGACCUCCAAUGCCGGAAGAGCACUUCUUCUAGCACAUGGUCUUCAAGGGAGUUAUGAAGCGAUUGGAGAGAGAGCUCGAGGAGGAUAUCAAGAACAUGAGGGGUCGCUGCUGGUAAUUUACGAUUUGUAGUUCAUAAAGCUCUACUAAGGAUUGAAGCCUGGAACCCAUGUAUUUCCCAGCUUUGGAUGUUAUUGAUUGUUCUGAAUGGAUUGUCCCCUUCAAUGUAUCCAAGACAAGAGAGUGAGACUAAAGGGAUUGGGUAAAACGAGUUGGGGAGGCGGAAGUAGAACCUACAUGAAGCAAAACAAGAAGAGGUUCUGGUUCCAUCAACACCUAAAUCUUUGAAAAGUCCCUGAAGUUUUGUCACUCCAUGAUAUCGAUUGAGGGUGCAAGCUGUCGUUUCAUGUUGUUAACACAGAUACGUGUUUAUUGACGUGAUAGCUGCUACUUUUUUCUGGUAUGCACAAUUGCACAUGUUUAAUGAUUACUAAUAUUGGGUCAAAUAGGUGAUGUGUAAGGAUAGAUGCUAGCAUUGUUGAUAGGGAAAAGUGUGAUGAUAGUGUUGUUUUUUCAGCAGGCUUGAGGACCAUGGUGCAGCCAAACAGCCAAGGAAGGGCUG
This is a long non-coding RNA of Lotus japonicus, 724 nucleotides long. RefSeq lists it as uncharacterized. Lineage: Eukaryota; Viridiplantae; Streptophyta; Magnoliopsida; Fabales; Fabaceae. The record is from RefSeq and is a predicted model, not a curated record. The transcript is spliced from 3 exons.